This 497-nucleotide ribosomal RNA is filed under the name uncultured bacterium. RNAcentral's name for it is "partial 16S ribosomal RNA". It matches the Rfam family "Bacterial small subunit ribosomal RNA", at positions 28 to 507 of the family's 1533-position model. The record is from RNAcentral.
GAUGAACGCUGGCGGCGUGCCUAAUACAUGCAAGUCGAGCGAACAGACGAGGAGCUUGCUCCUCUCACGUUAGCGGCGGACGUGUGAGUAACACGUGGAUAACCUACCUAUAAGACUGGGAUAACUUCGGGAAUCCGGAGCAAAUAGCGGAGAGUAUCUUGAUCCGCAUGGUUCAAUAGAGAAAUACGGUUUUUCUGUCAGGUAUCGAUGGUUACCCGCGGCAUUAGCGAGUUGUUGAGUUAACGGGUUUGCACGGCAACGAUGCGUAGCCGACGUGUCGGGGUGGUCGCCCACCUGGGAACUGGAACACGGUCCAGACUCCUAAGGGAGGCAGCAGUAGGCAAUCGUCCGCAAUGGGCGAAAGCUUGACGGAACAACGGCGAGUGAGUGAUGACGGUCUUCGGAUCGUAAUACUGUGUUACUAGGGAAAAACAACUGUGUAAGUAACUAUGCACGUCUUGACGGUAACUAAUAAGAAAGCCACGGCUAACUACGUG